GACGAACGCUGGCGGCGUGCUUAACACAUGCAAGUCGAACGGAAAGGCCCUGCUUUUGUGGGGUGCUCGAGUGGCGAACGGGUGAGUAACACGUGAGUAACCUGCCCUUGACUUUGGGAUAACUUCAGGAAACUGGGGCUAAUACCGGAUAGGAGCUCCUGCUGCAUGGUGGGGGUUGGAAAGUUUCGGCGGUUGGGGAUGGACUCGCGGCUUAUCAGCUUGUUGGUGGGGUAGUGGCUUACCAAGGCUUUGACGGGUAGCCGGCCUGAGAGGGUGACCGGCCACAUUGGGACUGAGAUGCGGCCCAGACUCCUACGGGAGGCAGCAGUGGGGAAUAUUGCACAAUGGGAGGAAGCCUGAUGCAGCAACGCCGCGUGCGGGAUGACGGCCUUCGGGUUGUAAACCGCUUUCGCCUGUGACGAAGCGUGAGUGACGGUAAUGGGUAAAGAAGCACCGGCUAACUACGUG
Molecule: ribosomal RNA, 468 nt
Filed under: uncultured bacterium
Lineage: Bacteria
Description: partial 16S ribosomal RNA
Rfam family: Bacterial small subunit ribosomal RNA
Source: RNAcentral